Esox lucius (northern pike) is the source of this 120-nucleotide long non-coding RNA. RefSeq lists it as uncharacterized. The record is from RefSeq and is a predicted model, not a curated record. The transcript is spliced from 3 exons. Lineage: Eukaryota; Metazoa; Chordata; Actinopteri; Esociformes; Esocidae.
AUUUGAAAUAAAUACAGCACAAUGCAACCCCACUGACAUGGCAGAGGGAAUGUCCGAGCACAUGGACGCAGAAGACACAGCAGUUUGUAUCCAGAAGAAGUCAGUGGAACAGAUCUUUGA